AUUCAGCUGACGAGUCCCAAAUAGAACUCAAGGCGCAUCCUGGAU
Molecule: non-coding RNA, 45 nt
Filed under: Schistosoma margrebowiei
Lineage: Eukaryota; Metazoa; Platyhelminthes; Trematoda; Strigeidida; Schistosomatidae
Source: RNAcentral